GACGAACGCUGGCGGCGUGCUUAACACAUGCAAGUCGAACGGAAAGGCCCUGCUUUUGUGGGGUGCUCAAGUGGCGAACGGGUGAGUAACACGUGAUUAACCUGCCCUUGACUUUGGGAUAACUUCAGUAAACUGGGGCUAAUACCGGAUAGGAGCUCCUGCUGCAUGGUGGGGGUUGGAAAGUUUCGGCGGUUGGGGAUGGACUCGCGGCUUAUCAGCUUGUUGGUGGGGUAGUGGCUUACCAAGGCUUUGACGGGUAGCCGGCCUGAGAGGGUGACCGGCCACAUUGGGACUGAGAUACGGCCCAGACUCCUACGGGAGGCAGCAGUGGGGAAUAUUGCACAAUGGGCGGAAGCCUGAUGCAGCAACGCCGCGUGCGGGAUGACGGCCUUCGGGUUGUAAACCGCUUUCGCCUGUGACGAAGCGUGAGUGACGGUAAUGGGUAAAGAAGCACCGGCUAACUACGUG
This 468-nucleotide ribosomal RNA is filed under the name uncultured bacterium. RNAcentral's name for it is "partial 16S ribosomal RNA". It matches the Rfam family "Bacterial small subunit ribosomal RNA", at positions 28 to 507 of the family's 1533-position model. The record is from RNAcentral.